This 490-nucleotide ribosomal RNA is filed under the name uncultured bacterium. RNAcentral's name for it is "partial 16S ribosomal RNA". It matches the Rfam family "Bacterial small subunit ribosomal RNA", at positions 29 to 507 of the family's 1533-position model. The record is from RNAcentral.
AGUGAACGCUGGCGGUAGGCCUAACACAUGCAAGUCGAACGGCAGCACAGGAGAGCUUGCUCUCUGGGUGGCGAGUGGCGGACGGGUGAGGAAUACAUCGGAAUCUACCUUUUCGUGGGGGAUAACGUAGGGAAACUUACGCUAAUACCGCAUACGACCUACGGGUGAAAGUGGGGGACCGCGAGGCCUCACGCGAUUAGAUGAGCCGAUGUCCGAUUAGCUAGUUGGCGGGGUAAUGGCCCACCAAGGCGACGAUCGGUAGCUGGUCUGAGAGGAUGAUCAGCCACACUGGAACUGAGACACGGUCCAGACUCCUACGGGAGGCAGCAGUGGGGAAUAUUGGACAAUGGGCGCAAGCCUGAUCCAGCCAUACCGCGUGGGUGAAGAAGGCCUUCGGGUUGUAAAGCCCUUUUGUUGGGAAAGAAAUCCUGUCGAUUAAUACUCGGUGGGGAUGACGGUACCCAAAGAAUAAGCACCGGCUAACUUCGUG